Molecule: transfer RNA, 71 nt
Filed under: Micralestes sp. NM-2010
Lineage: Eukaryota; Metazoa; Chordata; Actinopteri; Characiformes; Alestidae
Description: tRNA-Tyr
Rfam family: tRNA
About the family: Transfer RNA (tRNA) molecules are approximately 80 nucleotides in length. Their secondary structure includes four short double-helical elements and three loops (D, anti-codon, and T loops).
Source: RNAcentral
GGUAGAAUGGCCGAGCGCUUAGGCGGUGGGUUGUAGCCCCAUAAACAGAGGUUCAAAUCCUUUUUCUAUCA